GGGGGAGUAGCUCAGUGGUUAGAGCAGGCGGCUUAUAUCCGCCCGGUCCCUGGUUCGAAUCCAGGCUCCCCUACCA
RNAcentral lists this transfer RNA (76 nucleotides) under Chloroflexota bacterium. RNAcentral describes it as "tRNA-Ile". It matches the Rfam family "tRNA". From Rfam's summary of the family: Transfer RNA (tRNA) molecules are approximately 80 nucleotides in length. Their secondary structure includes four short double-helical elements and three loops (D, anti-codon, and T loops). The record is from RNAcentral. RNAcentral also lists the same sequence under 2 other names. Lineage: Bacteria; Bacillati; Chloroflexota.